UACGUAGGGGGCUAGCGUUGUCCGGAAUCAUUGGGCGUAAAGCGCGUGUAGGCGGUUCGGUAAGUCCGCUGUGAAAGUCGGGGGCUCAACCCUCGGAUGCCGGUGGAUACUGUCGGACUAGAGUGCGGAAGAGGCGAGUGGAAUUCCUGGUGUAGCGGUGAAAUGCGCAGAUAUCAGGAGGAACACCGGUGGCGAAGGCGGCUUCCUGGACCGAUACUGACGCUGAGGCGCGAAAGCUAGGGGAGCAAACGGG
This 253-nucleotide ribosomal RNA is filed under the name uncultured bacterium. RNAcentral describes it as "partial 16S ribosomal RNA". It matches the Rfam family "Bacterial small subunit ribosomal RNA", at positions 524 to 776 of the family's 1533-position model. The record is from RNAcentral.